UGGAAGAUAGCGGCGGAAAAUUAGUGGCUAUUUUGACAAUAGCCACUACUUGUUGGUUUUCUGGCAGUUUUGGUGGUGAACACUGGAAGAGGAGCUAUUUCCUUUGGCGAUGCUUCAACCUCAUUUUCUCUUGAUUUCAUUUUUCUUUCGUUAUCGCUUACAAGAGCCAGAGCCCAAUGUCUCUCCUCCUCCCUCGGGUUCUCUUGCCACAGCAUCUUGCCACCAUCAAAUUUGACCUUUGAUGCCACCAACCCUAUUAGACGCACCCUUUCCCUCUUUUCUCUCUUUGAAUAAACUUCCCCAAACCUUGCUAACCCUAAAUCUUCUUCCCCGAGGUACCAUUGGUGCUAUUUCUGCUCGUUCAGAUGAAGACGACGACACUGGGCUCUCUGUUUCAUCUCGUCUGUCAGAUUUGCUCGCCAUCUCCUCCUACUCCUGCGUGGUUCAAAUCUGCUGCAGUUAUAUAAAUUCCUGAUAAGAUAUUGGACUUUAUGAGGUUGCCAAGAAAAUUGACGACAUAGUAUGGCUUCGGAACCUCAAGGAUCCUCUUGGUCCUCCUUACUCUUCUCCUCCUUGGCCUCAACCUUGGUACCCAGAUUUUAGGCUGAAAUGGUUAUCCUCUUUGGUCUAUAUUCUUAGCAAAGCUAUUUGAGUCGUGUUGAAGCUAGCGAUUGGUGUUAGUUGUUUGGAUUCUGAGCCCUUCACUGCUGCUGAUGGCUUGCCGAAACAGGUCCAACAUCAUUUGCGCCGGUAAUUGAUGCAGCAAUUGAUGUUGUGGAGAAAAGCAAUGGUCAAUAUCAUGUUCUUGUUAUUAUUGUUGAUGGACAGGUUUCCAGAAAUUCAGAUACAGGAGGACGCAAAAGGCUUGGUCUACAAGAAUAAGCAACUAUUAAUUCUAUGGUUGCUGCAAGUCACUAUCCUCUCUGAAUAAUUUUGGUUGGUGUUGGAGAUGGACCGUGGGAUGAGAUGCAGCAGUUUGACAAUAACAUCACGGAACCCUUAUUUGACAAUGUUCAGGUACUUGAUGGUACUUAAAAUAUUCAAGUACUAUGUAUGCUUCUAUAGUAAUGAGUUUCAAGAACCUCGAAGUUUAGCAUAUUAAUUAGCUAAGGGGAUAAUGUAAUACAUCAACCAAUUCCAAAAUUAAGCACAGUUUAUAAUUAGUUGGACAUAGUGUUUUAUGAUGCUCUUCUCUUUGUAGAGAGAGAUAUAAUAUGGAAUUCUACUAUCUCAACAUUAGUAAGUGUAAGAUGACUCUUAAGUAGGUUUACCCAACUCCUAACAUGGAUUAGGGUGGUUCUUAUUGUUUUUGUUCCUUGCAUAGUUAGCUUAUUAGCUGCGAUGUUUAAUAGAAUAGAUCUUAAAUUCUGAUCACUUUUCAAAUAAAAUUUUUGACUCAGCUGUUUGGGGAGGUGCCAAGUUGUCUAAUGUUCUUGAACUAGUUGGAAUACCAAAGUUGACCAAUAGUACUCAAUUUGGUGAAAAACAUGUUGAGUUUGUUAGUAUUGAUAAGUGUAAGAUAACCACCAUGACGUGUAUUUAAAUUACACAUCAUGGAUUACUUCUUGUUUUUAGUUUUAUUCAUGGAUACAAUUCUGUUGAUUUCUUUUAAUCUCCAAAAAACUAUAGGAGAAGAAAGGAGGUCCUUACAAGGCUUCAAUUUCUCUCAGUCAGGCAACAAAUCCUGAAGCAGAAAAAGUUUAUUGAUAUUUUCAAAUUCAAGCCCUACUCUAUCAGACAGAAUAAAUUUAUUAAUAAUGAUUUUAUUUUGGCAGUGUGCUAUAUGUUCUCUAGGAGAUGUGAGCACACUAAAGCUUGGGAAGGAUCAAGUGGUGGCAGAGACAUUGAGAGAGUCGAUAUUUCUGUUGAUGAAGGAAAAAGCUGGAUUGAAGCCUUAAGAUGUCAGAAAAGUGGUGUCCAAUACAUAAUCGAUGUUUCUUUAGAUAGACUUGGAGGGAAAUAAAAAUUAGAAUAUAUGUGAUAUUUUAUUUUUCAGAAUAUGUUUUGUUUAAGUUGAUUAUGUAGCAUCUUUUAUUAGCUA
RNA transcript from Arachis stenosperma, 2041 nucleotides. RefSeq lists it as uncharacterized. NCBI's taxonomy places the organism in Eukaryota, Viridiplantae, Streptophyta, Magnoliopsida, Fabales, Fabaceae. The transcript is spliced from 7 exons. The record is from RefSeq and is a predicted model, not a curated record.